RNAcentral lists this ribosomal RNA (193 nucleotides) under uncultured bacterium. RNAcentral's name for it is "partial 16S ribosomal RNA". It matches the Rfam family "Bacterial small subunit ribosomal RNA", at positions 1307 to 1500 of the family's 1533-position model. The record is from RNAcentral.
GCAACUCGACUGCACGAAGUCGGAAUUGCUAGUAAUCGCGGAUCAGCAUGCCGCGGUGAAUACGUUCCCGGGCCUUGUACACACCGCCCGUCACACCAUGGGAGCCGGUAAUACCCGAAGUCAGUAGUCCAACCUCGUGAGGACGCUGCCGAAGGCAGGAUUGGCGACUGGGGUGAAGUCGUAACAAGGUAUC